AACGAACGCUGGCGGCAUGCCUAACACAUGCAAGUCGAACGAGACCUUCGGGUCUAGUUGCGCACGGGUGCGUAACGCGUGGGAACCUGCCCUUAGGUUCGGAAUAACUCCCCGAAAGGGGUGCUAAUACCGGAUAAUGUCUUCGGACCAACGAUUUAUCGCCUUUGGAUGGGGCCGCGUUGGAUUAGCUAGUUGGUAGGGUAAAAGCCUACCAAGGCGACGAUCCAUAGCUGGUCUGAGAGGAUGAUCAGCCACACUGGGACUGAGACACGGCCCAGACUCUUACGGGAGGCAGCAGUGGGGAAUAUUGGACAAUGGGCGAAAGCCUGAUCCAGCAAGGCCGCGUGAGUGAUGAAGGCCUUAGGGUUGUAAAGCUCUUUUACCCGGGAUGAUAAUGACAGUACCGGGAGAAUAAGCUCCGGCUAACUCCGUG
RNAcentral lists this ribosomal RNA (433 nucleotides) under uncultured bacterium. Its description in RNAcentral is "partial 16S ribosomal RNA". It matches the Rfam family "Bacterial small subunit ribosomal RNA", at positions 29 to 507 of the family's 1533-position model. The record is from RNAcentral.